RNAcentral lists this transfer RNA (77 nucleotides) under Candidatus Electrothrix gigas. RNAcentral's name for it is "tRNA-Arg". It matches the Rfam family "tRNA". From Rfam's summary of the family: Transfer RNA (tRNA) molecules are approximately 80 nucleotides in length. Their secondary structure includes four short double-helical elements and three loops (D, anti-codon, and T loops). Further hydrogen bonds mediate the characteristic L-shaped molecular structure. tRNAs have two regions of fundamental functional importance: the anti-codon, which is responsible for specific mRNA codon recognition, and the 3' end, to which the tRNAs corresponding amino acid is attached (by aminoacyl-tRNA synthetases). tRNAs cope with the degeneracy of the genetic code in two manners: having more than one tRNA (with a specific anti-codon) for a particular amino acid; and 'wobble' base-pairing, i.e. permitting non-standard base-pairing at the 3rd anti-codon position. The record is from RNAcentral. Lineage: Bacteria; Pseudomonadati; Thermodesulfobacteriota; Desulfobulbia; Desulfobulbales; Desulfobulbaceae.
GCGCCUGUAGCUCAUCUGGAUAGAGUACCUGACUACGAAUCAGGGGGUAGCAGGUUCGAAUCCUGCCAGGCGCACCA